AGUGCAGUAGUGUAGUGGUUAACACACGAGGCCAGGAUAAGCGCGAGACGCAGGUACGAAUCCCGCCUGAGCCG
This 74-nucleotide transfer RNA is filed under the name Nippostrongylus brasiliensis. It matches the Rfam family "tRNA". Rfam says of the family: Transfer RNA (tRNA) molecules are approximately 80 nucleotides in length. Their secondary structure includes four short double-helical elements and three loops (D, anti-codon, and T loops). The record is from Rfam by way of RNAcentral. Lineage: Eukaryota; Metazoa; Nematoda; Chromadorea; Rhabditida; Heligmosomidae.